This 1041-nucleotide ribosomal RNA is filed under the name Amolops jinjiangensis. Its description in RNAcentral is "partial large subunit ribosomal RNA". It matches the Rfam family "Bacterial large subunit ribosomal RNA", at positions 873 to 2607 of the family's 2925-position model. The record is from RNAcentral. Lineage: Eukaryota; Metazoa; Chordata; Amphibia; Anura; Ranidae.
AGCUCCUCCUUUAAUUUUUUUAUUGCACCAAACAAAACACUAGAUUUAAGAGCUAUUCAAAUAAGGCACAGCUUAUUUGAAAUGGGGUACAACCCCUAAUACUGGGUUAAUCUAGAUAUAUUAAAUAAAGUGGGCCUAAAAGCAGCCAUCUUCUAAAAAGCGUUAAAGCUUAACAUAUUACUAUCUACAAUUCCACAAUUUUUACUUAACCCUUUAUCACUACUGAACUAUUUUAUACCCCUAUAAAAGUCAUUAUGCUAGAACUAGUAACAAGAAAUUGCCCUUCUCCAAAAUGUAUGUUUAAACCAAAAUGGACCCUCCACUGGUAGUUAACGUAAAUGUAAUAAUCAUAGUACCAUACAACUAGAAAACCCUAUGACUCCCCAACGUCAACCUUACACUAGAACAUUACAGGAAAGAUUAAAAGAGAAAGAAGGAACUCGGCAAACCACAGUCCCGCCUGUUUACCAAAAACACCGCCUCUUGCCCAAAUAUAAGAGGUCCAGCCUGCCCAGUGACAUAGUUUAACGGCCGCGGUACCCUAACCGUGCGAAGGUAGCAUAAUCACUUGUUCUUUAAAUAAGGACUCGUAUCAACGGCAUCACGAGGGCUGUACUGUCUCCUUUCUCCAAUCAGUGAAACUGAUCUCCCCGUGAAGAAGCGGGGAUUGACCUAUAAGACGAGAAGACCCCAUGGAGCUUUAAACCCAACACACACCUCUACGCACCCAAACCAAUAUAGCCCAAGAGACUUGUGUGUUGGUUUUAGGUUGGGGGGACCGCGGAGUAAAAUCAAACCUCCAUGACAGACGGGCUAACACCCUUAUCCAUGAACCACAAUUCUAAGAGCCAAUAAAUUGUUGUCUAAUGACCCAAUUACUUGAUCAACGAACCAAGUUACCCUGGGGAUAACAGCGCAAUCUACUUCAAGAGCUCCUAUCGACAAGUAGGUUUACGACCUCGAUGUUGGAUCAGGGUAUCCUAGUGGUGCAGCCGCUACUAAAGGUUCGUUUGUUCAACGAUUAAAACCCUACGUGAUCUG